CGGCCCUGUGUGACGCGCACGCACCGCCCUCUCUGUCCCCGCGUGGGCCCCCAGGCACACACACUCGGGCUCGGGCUCAGGAGAAAGCGGCUGCAGGGCCGGGCAGUCGAGACCCCCCGGGGGCUGGGUGGGGACCGAGCGUGGUGCUGGCUGGGGAGCUCAGGAGCCAAGGAGCUGAGGCACUGGCAGGCCCGUGGGGACACUGAGACAAAGCGUCCCCAGCCCAGAGUGGCAGUGUGGUGACCUCCUGGGCCGGCGAAGGAGAGUCAGGGAGCUUGCUGGAGGCAGUGACGUGUGGCCUUGGCUGGGACAGUAGGAGAACACACCUCAGGAACAGGGCCCUGAGGAGCCUCUGCCCAGCAGAAGGCAUGGAGUUGUCCUGGCCCGGGGGCAGCCCUGGAAAAAGAGGAACCACUGUGACACUCCCGGAGGCCUCCUGUGUCUGUACCACUCUCAGGAGAGGAGCAGCUUGUCUCCUGGGAUGCAAAUUCAGCCAUCUCCACUUCAAGCUGUGUGACCUUGGGCUGGUGGCCAAACCUCUCUGAGUCUAGGUGUCUGCAUCCAUGUAAUGGGGAUGUAAUUCACAAGGCUGUGAUGAGAUUCCUCGGGACGAUUCAAGGAAAG
This 624-nucleotide long non-coding RNA is filed under the name Chinchilla lanigera (long-tailed chinchilla). Its description in RNAcentral is "lncRNA (ENSCLAG00000024102.1)". Lineage: Eukaryota; Metazoa; Chordata; Mammalia; Rodentia; Chinchillidae. The record is from RNAcentral.